Molecule: ribosomal RNA, 459 nt
Filed under: uncultured bacterium
Lineage: Bacteria
Description: partial 16S ribosomal RNA
Rfam family: Bacterial small subunit ribosomal RNA
Source: RNAcentral
CCUCCUUUCUUCCUCCUUGCGGCAUCUUGGUCAAUGGGCGCGAGCCUGAACCAGCCAAGUCGCGUGAGGGAAGACGGUCCUAUGGAUUGUAAACCUCUUUUGUCGGGGAGCAAAAGACGCCACGCGUGGCGUUCCGAGAGUACCCGAAGAAAAAGCAUCGGCUAACUCCGUGCCAGCAGCCGCGGUAAUACGGAGGAUGCGAGCGUUAUCCGGAUUUAUUGGGUUUAAAGGGUGCGCAGGCGGAAGAUCAAGUCAGCGGUAAAAUUGAGAGGCUCAACCUCUUCGAGCCGUUGAAACUGGUGUUCUUGAGUGAGUGAGAAGUAUGCGGAAUGCGUGGUGUAGCGGUGAAAUGCAUAGAUAUCACGCAGAACUCCGAUUGCGAAGGCAGCAUACCGGCGCUCAACUGACGCUCAUGCACGAAAGUGUGGGUAUCGAACAGGAUUAGAUACCCCUGUAGUC